GAUGAACGCUGGCGGCGUGCUUAACACAUGCAAGUCGAACGAAGCACCUUGAUUCGAUUCUUCGGAUGAAGAUCUUGGUGACUGAGUGGCGGACGGGUGAGUAACGCGUGGGUAACCUGCCUCAUACAGGGGGAUAACAGUUAGAAAUGACUGCUAAUACCGCAUACGACCACAGCACCGCAUGGUGCAGGGGUAAAAACUCCGGUGGUAUGAGAUGGACCCGCGUCUGAUUAGGUAGUUGGUGGGGUAACGGCCUACCAAGCCGACGAUCAGUAGCCGACCUGGGAGGGUGACCGGCAACAUUGGGACUGAGACACGGCCCAAACUCCUACGGGAGGCAGCAGUGGGGAAUAUUGCACAAUGGGGGAAACCCGGAUGCAGCGACGCCGCGUGAGCGAUGAAGUAUUUCGGUAUGUAAAGCUCUAUCAGCAGGGAAGAAAAUGACGGUACCUGACUAAGAAGCACCGGCUAAAUACGU
Molecule: ribosomal RNA, 478 nt
Filed under: uncultured bacterium
Lineage: Bacteria
Description: partial 16S ribosomal RNA
Rfam family: Bacterial small subunit ribosomal RNA
Source: RNAcentral